This is a long non-coding RNA of Bubalus bubalis (water buffalo), 3996 nucleotides long. RefSeq annotates it as protein FAM246C. The transcript is spliced from 3 exons. The record is from RefSeq and is a predicted model, not a curated record. NCBI's taxonomy places the organism in Eukaryota, Metazoa, Chordata, Mammalia, Artiodactyla, Bovidae.
AUGUUGCCGGUCGCGCAGCAGGCCCGCGGCUGGGGCUCGGGCUCGGGCUCGGGCUCGGGCUCGCGCUGGGCGGGCGGCGGCAGGCGGCGGCGGCCCGAGGCGGCGGUCCGCGCGCAUAGGGAGCCCUGCCUAGUGCAUGGCCGGGCGCACGCGGCCGCCUCCCGCGGGGCCACGCGCCCGGGGGAAACGAGGCGGGGAAUUCACCAAAACCCGCAAGCGAGCAGUCACUUGACGCGGGCCUCGCCGCCCGGCUCAGCCACUGGGGCCCCGGGGUCCCGCCCCCCCCACACACACAAGUUUCCUCGCCAGACCCGGCGGAAGCGAGGAAACCCCCGCAACCCGAGCGCGCCGGCCGAGACUCUUGGUGAAAGCGAGGCCUGCGGGCCCCACACCGGGAGCCGAAGAAGCCGAGAGAGAAAGGCGCGGCCUGAUCGUCUCCCCACCUCGCAGGAGGGCGCCGGAGGGGCGGGGAGUGGGCGGGGGCGCCCGGCGGGAGGGCAGCACCCUCGCAGCCCAGAAUGUGUUUUCGCUUUCGGCCCCGACCGCGGUGAGGACGGCGGGAGGUGUAGUUUGGGCAGCGGCAGGAAGUCGGCCUGCGGCGGGCGGGGACGCGCGGCCGGCCUACCCGGUGAGGGGAGGCGCCCGGGAGGCGCGCGGACUACAAGUCCCUACAGCACGGUCGCCGCCGCCGCCACCCGGAGCGGGCUUCACGCUUCCCGGGCACCGCGCGUCCUCCAGCAGGCCGAGGGUCUCCGCCUGCAGAUGCGCGGAGACCUGCGCGCGCCGCCCCGCCCGGCCGCCCGCCCUCUGCGCCGCGGGCCUGCGGGAUGUGCGCGCACCCUGCGUGCGUGGAGUUGCCAGGGACACGGAGGCCGCUGGGUCGGCCCUUUGUGUAUUUCCAAACAGAGGGCGCACCUGUCUGCUCCCCUCCCCCACCCCCGCCCGCCCCGGCCUCUUCCCCUGACGUUUCCAUGGAGGUGGCUUUAACGGCUUAAGCAGAAAAUAGACCUAAUUGGCGAAGGCUCCUGGAACUCGCAUCGUGCGGGGCGAUACAGGCUGUCCAUAAAUCAGCCGUGGACUGCUGAUUCCUAUUCGAGACUAGAAGUACAGCUCUGGCGGUAUAUAGCAAGAUGAUGUCUUUGCCACAGACAUUUUGGUUCACCCUGCCACUACAGCUGCCCACCCCAGCACAAAGGGGUGUCGCUAGUCGGAAAAACUUAAGAUUUUUUUCCCCCCUUUUUAAAAACCAUCUUGUAAUUGUUUGAUAGCGUGCUGGACGUGCCCUGGGUUCCAGCGGUGUUUGCUGGAGGAUUCCUGUUCAACUUCCCACCCUGCGAAGUUGAAUGACAGUGUAUGCCUUUAGAACCUAGAAUUUAUCCAGCUUGUUUUUGUGACACCAGAAUUUUAUUUUUAUUCAAGUACAACAGCAUCUGGUAUCCCAGUCUUUUAAAUACACGAUUAAUCAUAAAAUCUACUCUUGAAGCCAUGGUGCGGCAGGGUGGGGCUGGGGAGGCUGAAGAGUUAGUUACUGUAGAUUUAGACAUGUGGUCAAACAGACUCUUUGGAAUGGGGGGCAAGGCAGGCCAGAUGGUGAGAGUCCAGUGCAAAUUACUGAAAAUUCUAUUUGAGAAAUCUGUUUUCAGUACUUGGUGCAAACAAUGACUCGUGUGUUCACUCUCCUUGGAACGUUUAGAUUUGAUUUCUUAAGGUUUAAAGAUUCAAAUAUCCAAUGGUGCUGUUUUUAGAGAAAGCAAAAAAAGGAUUCUGACCUAAAUGAAUUUUCUUGUCCCACUAUUGAAUUUUGUACAUUUUGUAGAGAAAUACACUUCAGAAUCCCUUUUAGAAAAAUCUAGUUUCAAGUCAAACCUGUUGCUUUUCCUUCUUCAAAAAUAUAUAAUUUAAAAUAUAUGAUUGCACUCUCAUUCCACUCAAAAAGAACUGCCCAGUUUUGCCACUACUUACAAUAUGGCAUUUUCUUUUUAUAAAUAUGACUUGCCUUUUAAACCCACAGAGGAAUGGAAAGCAAAGUAAUAUCUAAACAAUAGCUUAAAUAUCGAAUUCUUAAAAUGAGUAGAUUCUGUAGUAUUAAUAAGCAACAGACUUUCAUAUAUGCCAAAAGAAAAUCAUGCCUUUCCUAACAUUUAUGUAAUUUAGAAAUAAGAGUUCUGAAGCUCAUCUCCAAAUCAAUAGGUAUUUGGAAAAUCUACUGUGUCUAGCAUGCUAGACAACUGCAUUGCUAAUUAUCUUGAGAACAUAUUAGAAACAUAUUUCCAGGGGCCUCACGUUUGAAAAUUUAUCAAGCCUUAUUUUGUAAUUGAAAUGUUAAUGACUACAUUGUUCGUGAUUACAUUAAUUUUUAGAAGUCAUUAAAAAGCUUUGCUCACCUUUUAUAUGUGCAAUAAUUCCAUUUUGAGUGGCUAAUACUGUUUCAAGCAUAUUUUCUAUCUUAAGCUUUAUCUAUAUUUUAAUCUUAUUUGAAUGCGCUUACAUACAUACAUUUUUUUUAAUGGAAUAUCACUAUUUUUUAAAGCCCCCAGAUUCCUUUGAAACACUUUGAAAAGGAAACCAAAUACAUCAUUAACACUACCAUGUCUUUAUUUUCCAUUACAAAAAUGUAAUUCACUCACAAUUGUACAAAUGAAUACGAUCAUUUAAACAAGUACUCUAGUUGACACUACAGUUGACUUACAGUAUUUUUUAAACGAAUCAUUAAAUACUAAGAAAACAGAGGCUCUAAUCAGAAUUCAUCACCAUUCUAUGUAAUCUUAUAAAAAUGUGGUUUGUUAUCAGAGUACUAGAAGACUAACACAUUUCCAGUCAUCUCUACACUUGAUGUCCUGACAAAAUUACUUAUUAUCCUCAUUCCUGCUAAAUGAGUGCAGAUCAGCCUCACUCUAAACUGCCUGCUUCUGCUUCCAAAAUUAGAAGUAAAACACCUGUUGUAUCUGACCAGGGGCCUGUUUAAGGAAAUCCUUUAGGUAUUUUGAGACCUGAUCCAACGCAGACCCUCUGUAUGCCAAAUCCCCAAAUAUAGCUCCCCGUUUAGACAACAUUAAAGGAUCCUAUGACUUUAAACUGAACCAAUGCUUAUAGAAAUUCACUUGCUAACCUUAACCUCUGAAAGUUUUCAAAAAACUACAUCUGACUGACCAUGUUCGCUCUGAGGAAGCCGUUUCUGAUCAGCAAAAGUGAAGAGCAGACAUUUUAAUCAAAUAUAAUCUGAAGGAUUCAACGCUCCUGAGAAGUUAAUGAAAUUAGUCAUCCCAGGCAAAUGUGUCAACUGUUUUUCUUGUACACAGUUAAAUACCUCACGUCUGCUUGCUCUGACAAACUUUGGAGCUAAUAAUCAGUUUUGUUUUAAAAAUGAUAGAUUUUCUGCAGCUUUUUUUCCAAUAAAAAGUUAGGUGUUAUGGUGGUGGUGUUUAGUCACUCAGUUGUGUCCAACUCUGCGACCCCAUAGACUGUAGCCCACCAGGCUCCUUUGUCCAUGGUAUUUCCCAGGUAAGAAUGCUUCAGUCGGUUGACAUUUCCUUCUCCAAGUAGGCAUUCUCCAGUAUUCAUUUACCGUAGGCAUUCUCAAAGAUGGCCCCCAGUGAUUCCUGUCUCCUGGUAUUCACUCUCCUGUGUAGUUGCCGCCACUUUAUAGCAGGAUUGGUCUCUGUGAUCAAUAGAAUAGAGCAAAUUGUACAAAUUUAAUAUAUUGCUGCUGAGAUCAGGUUAUAAGAGAUGUUUUUGGUUGUUCUCUUACAUUUCCUCUUUUGUGGGUGACUCAGUCUAGCGAAAGCUGGUUGCUAUGGGGAAAACUUAGACGUCUCCUCGUGGGGAAAUGGAGCCUCAGCCAACAGCCACGUAAGUCAGCUUUGAAGUGAGUCCUCCAACCCAAUCAAGCUUUCAGAUGACUGCAACUCCAUGAGAAACCCCUCAUCCAGCCAAGGUGUGUAUGUCACUUCAGUUGUGACCCCAUGGACUGUAGCUCGCCGGGCUCCUCUGUUCAUG